UGGCGCUGUCGCCGGCUGCAGUGGCCGCCGCUGGAGACCGCGGGACCUGGCGCUGCAGCGAGAUUUUCAAACACCGCAUUCCCCUUAAACCUCCCAGGCUCCCAUCACUCCCAGCAAAGAGCCAGCCCGCUACUUUAUGGAGACAGGAGAGACUGUCAGACAGUUCCUGCUGCUGCCCAGGUGCAUCUGAUGAAUCAGUGCUGCUAUGAACAUUACUCUGGGUGUAUGCUUGGACAUAGAAUCUCUGGAGUACAGUCUCAACUGUUAAUUCAAAAUA
This 277-nucleotide long non-coding RNA is filed under the name Homo sapiens (human). RNAcentral describes it as "HSALNT0345853". The record is from RNAcentral. Lineage: Eukaryota; Metazoa; Chordata; Mammalia; Primates; Hominidae.